AACGUGGUCCUUUGUGCCGGCCGGCUUGCAGCCACGUGUCAUCAAACUGCUAAAAGGCCGGGGUUGU
Molecule: non-coding RNA, 67 nt
Filed under: uncultured Alsobacter sp.
Lineage: Bacteria; Pseudomonadati; Pseudomonadota; Alphaproteobacteria; Hyphomicrobiales; Alsobacteraceae
Description: SAM riboswitch (alpha-proteobacteria)
Rfam family: Alpha-proteobacteria SAM riboswitch aptamer
About the family: This family is a riboswitch found predominantly in alpha-proteobacteria that binds S-adenosyl methionine (SAM). This SAM riboswitch is located upstream of the metA and metC genes in Agrobacterium tumefaciens, and other methionine and SAM biosynthesis genes in other alpha-proteobacteria.
Source: RNAcentral